UAAAAGUCGUAACAAGGUUUCCGUAGGUGAACNUGCGGAAGGAUCAUUACCGUUGUCUCAUGACAAAAAACCACUGUGAACUGUCUCGAGCUUGUGGGGUAACCCUUAGGCGGUUUUAAAUGAUCUGUAGUCUACUACUACACGUAGCAGUAGCUCUGAUUGGCCCCACUUGCGCAACAAACUCAAAUGUUUAACACACUUAUACUGUUUUCCAGUAUCACUGAUUUUCUCACUGCGCAAGCUAUGAGGAAUGAAAGUAAACACUUGACAACUUUUAACGGUGGAUCUCUUGGCUCGUGCAUCGAUGAAGAACGUAGCCAGUUGCGAUAAGUAGUGUGAAUUGCAGAAUUCAGUGAAUCAUCGAAUCUUUGAACGCAAAUUGCGCUCUCUGGCUAUCCAGGGAGCAUGCCUGUCUGAGCGUCGUGUAAAACCUACACACCCCGGUGUGGCUAGGGAGCUACAAGCGUCGUUGGCACGUUUGGCUCUCCAUGUGUCUGAACUCGAUUGCAAUCGUCAGGUUGUUAUCGGAAGGCUCAACUAGCUUCUGUCCUCUCCGGUAAUCAACUACCUGUGAUUCAAUUGCUGUUCUUAGCAGCACUUUAUAGUGCAGCAGUACUCGAGCUUUGACCUCAGAUCAGACAAGACUACCCGCUGAAUUUAAGCAUAUCAAUA
Molecule: ribosomal RNA, 672 nt
Filed under: uncultured eukaryote
Lineage: Eukaryota
Description: eukaryotic LSU rRNA
Rfam family: 5.8S ribosomal RNA (bases 270-423)
Source: RNAcentral